CCUGCAGUGCCCUCGGAGGCCAGAAGAGGGCAUAGGAUCUCUUGGGACUAGAGUUUCUUCUACCAUUUGGGUGCUUGAAAUUGAGCCGGGAUCCUCUGAAAGAGCAGUCAGUGCUCUUAAUUGCUGAGCCAUCUCUCCAGCUCCGGGAACUAGAGCUGCUUGCGGUAAUGUUGAGAAGAGUUCCUUGAGAGCAGAAGCACUGCCUGACACUGGCUGGUGCUGACAAGCAAGUGCCCACACAUGUGGUUGAGUUUAUUAUGCGUGGGCAGAGGGUGUGAGAUCGGAGAGUUUGAGUCUCAAGGAAAGCUGGUGCUCUGCUUGUCUGGUCUCCGGGAUGCAAAUUUGAGGCGACCACCGUUUGCAUACAGAGCAGGAAACCAAGCCUGAUCCUGGCUGAGGGCGGGCAAAGGCCAGGGACAGGGUAUAAAUCUUGCCAAAGGCUCUCCCGGUCCAUGCAGCUCCAGACCAGAGCUGAUUCCAGGAUAGGCUUCUUUUCAGGUGGGAGUUUCCUGGAAUGGGGUAGGCAGAUGCGAAAGGGGGCGGUUUCACAUUUAUUUCGGGACCCCCUUACCACACACACACACACACACACACACACACACGCGCGCGUGCGCGCGGAGCAAAAGGAAGCUCGGGGCUAAAUUCUUGGUGAUGAUAAGGAAGGGAUGGCCUGAGGAGGUUGAGUUAGAGGAUAGGGACCAGUAUUUGGGAGGUGUACACCACCCCUUCUCCACUGUGUGUGGACGAUGUCUGAAGCUCCACGCUUUCAGAGGAAGGUGGACGGUAUCAGCUCCCUGGGAGCGCCAAGCUUCGGAGCCCAGUGUUGGUCCACAAGGGCAGGGAGGCCCCUAGCGGCAAGCAACAGCUUGGCCCCGCACUUCCUGCCCCGCCCAGGCGGGGUUCACGGAAGACGAAUUUGGCCGAAGGGGCGUGGCUAACGCUGGCCAGAGGCCGCGAGGCGUGGCCAGGGCAAAUGCGGGCAGGAGGCCUCUUGGCGCCCGCCCCACCCAGUCUCCUCCUUGCUGGCCCCAUUGCCCGGAAGGCUGUCGGCCGAGGGCCGCCUUAAUCUGCCCAGCCUUCCGUCUCCCGCCCCGCCCCGCCCCGCAUUCCAGAGGCCGUGACUGGCAGCUUUGAAGACUGUCAGAUGGGGACCCCAGCCAGAGGUGAGGACCCUCCAUACAUAGGCCGAGUGGGAUAUGUGAGCAGAUACAGGUAAUAGGACAUUACCAGUCCCCACUACCGCCACACACAGGGCUGGGGAGGUCCCUCCACAUAUGCCCUGGUCCCGUGUCUCAGCCACUGGGUCCCGUGUACUCACGGCAUUGUCUGGAUGGAAGACAUAGGAGGCGGGUGAGUUGUCUAGAAUGAGCACUCGCCGCAGGUCUCGGCCCAGCCUGCUCAGGUCCUUUACGUAGUUCCCCCGGUGGAAGACACACGACUCUCGAAACAGCCUGGCACGGAAGGCUCCCCACUUGUCCAGCAGAUCAGCUACAGGGUCUGCGUACUAGGGUAGGCGGUUAAGUCACCUCAGAAUGAGUAAUGUCCAGGGCUGCAUGUUCAACGUGGGAGGGAGGAUAUGGGUGACCCAGACCCCAGGCAAUGGCUCACCUUGGCAAGGCUGGCAGUGAACAGCACACAUUCAAAGAGCUCGCCCAUUCGCUGUAGGAACUCAUCUACGUGGGGCCGCUUCAGCACAUAGACCUGGGGAACGAGCCAGUGAGGGAGCUGCUGGCCAACAGGCUUAGGGGUGAUCCACAAAAGGGGGACAGGAACAGUGGAGGAGGAAGGGCAGUCUAGAGAGGCUGCCCCAACCAUACCCCAUUCCUAAAGAGAUAAGAAUAGGAUUCCCGUGGUCCCACCUCACCUAGUGGGAGCCACUCCCCUUCCCACACUGGUUUUAUCCAAAUGCAGGAGUCCAGGUUAGCCCUCUCACCCCAAGGCUGCAGGGCACCGGCCCCCGAGCCAAGUAAUGGAGAACAGGCUGGUCAGCACCACAACCUAUCCUGAAUUACUUGAACUGGGUCCCGGGCAGUAGGGGUAAGAGGGGAAAGAGGGCUGCACAAGACAGGACCAGAAGGAGCCCAGUGUGCAGGUCUGGGAGUCUGGCUCCAUCUCUGGAGUACCAGGUAGUCUUGGGUUCUCACUCUUUCUGAGCUUUGGACACGCCCCAUCUAUUAAAGUUCCAUGGGGGACUCGCUCAAGAAGGGUGGGAGGAACCUGGGUGUAGUGCAGACACCAAGCUCCCCACCUCCCUCUGACCCUCACCUGGUGGACCACUCCAUCUAUCUCCACCGGGAUGAUGAAGUCCGCAUUGUUCACUGGCUGUAAGGAAAGAAUAAUGGCUGGAGCUGGCGGGGAGGGAAUCCCAAGGGUGGAAAUCCAGCAGAGACCUCCCCCUGUCAAGAGACUAGAGGCUGAGAGGUGCCAGGCAGGGCCCACCUUGAAGGAGCUGUGCACCAGGGUCUCGUCCAGGUCGAUGACGACGCAGAUCUUGUCUGAGUCCUGGGCCUUGGCCUCGGGAAGCAGGUACUGGACUGGGGUGUGCUGUGGGGAGGGCUGGGCUGGAAGGGCACCUCUUACAGGGGCUUCCCUCCCCAAAUUUCUCUAUCUGAGGACCCGACCAGACCUUCUACCCCCUCCCCAGCUUGGAGUCUUGCAAACUGUGAGCCAGGGGAUCUGCACGUGUAUCAGUGAAGUUCGGGCCUAUACCCCUAUCUGUAUCUGCCAAGUCUACUUCCGGCUAGGUCUCGGUGCAUCCAAAUUGCCACAAACC
Mus musculus (house mouse) is the source of this 2773-nucleotide long non-coding RNA. RefSeq annotates it as predicted gene, 53562. The record is from RefSeq and is a predicted model, not a curated record. Lineage: Eukaryota; Metazoa; Chordata; Mammalia; Rodentia; Muridae. The transcript is spliced from 3 exons.